CAAAUGCCUUGUUUGCCUCGCAAUAGAUACAUCACUGGUGCAGGGCCAUAAUAAGAGCCCAGUGGGCCUGGUGCUGACAAUUAUGAUAGACCUAAUUAUAGAAUCGUAUCCACAGGAAACACUAAAACACUCAUACCUCCCAAGCGUCAUGUACAUGGCGGAGGUGGUGAUGGAGGGAAACUCGCAGGAAAAAGAAAACACAUAAGAUAUG
This is a non-coding RNA of Pelobates cultripes (western spadefoot toad), 211 nucleotides long. The record is from the annotation of a GenBank genome assembly. NCBI's taxonomy places the organism in Eukaryota, Metazoa, Chordata, Amphibia, Anura, Pelobatidae.